This 77-nucleotide transfer RNA is filed under the name Candidatus Buchananbacteria bacterium RIFCSPHIGHO2_01_FULL_40_35. RNAcentral's name for it is "tRNA-Val". It matches the Rfam family "tRNA". Rfam says of the family: Transfer RNA (tRNA) molecules are approximately 80 nucleotides in length. The record is from RNAcentral. RNAcentral also lists the same sequence under 2 other names. Lineage: Bacteria; Candidatus Buchananiibacteriota.
GGACGAUUAGCUCAGUUGGUUAGAGCGUCUCGUUGACGUCGAGAAGGUCAGUGGUUCAAAUCCACUAUCGUCCACCC